This 55-nucleotide transfer RNA is filed under the name Spirocerca lupi. Its description in RNAcentral is "tRNA-Cys". Lineage: Eukaryota; Metazoa; Nematoda; Chromadorea; Rhabditida; Thelaziidae. The record is from RNAcentral.
AAGUUUUUAGUAUAUUUUGUAUGAUUGAUUGCAAAUCAUUAGGUUUAUAAGCUUU